CCUUCGGGAUAGUGGCGGACGGGUGAGUAACACGUGGGAACGUGCCCUUUGGUUCGGAACAAGCCGGGGAAACCUGGUCUAAUGCCGAAUGUGCCCUACGGGGGAAAGAUUUAUCGCCAUUGGAGCGGCCCGCGUCUGAUUAGCUUGUUGGUGAGGUAAAGGCUCACCAAGGCGACGAUCAGUAGCUGGUCUGAGAGGAUGAUCAGCCACACUGGGACUGAGACACGGCCCAGACUCCUACGGGAGGCAGCAGUUAGGAAUCUUGCGCAAUGGGCGAAAGCCUGACGCAGCCAUGCCGCGUGAAUGAUGAAGGUCUUAGGA
RNAcentral lists this ribosomal RNA (321 nucleotides) under uncultured bacterium. Its description in RNAcentral is "bacterial SSU rRNA". It matches the Rfam family "Bacterial small subunit ribosomal RNA", at positions 84 to 422 of the family's 1533-position model. The record is from RNAcentral.